Molecule: long non-coding RNA, 496 nt
Organism: Anguilla anguilla (European eel)
Lineage: Eukaryota; Metazoa; Chordata; Actinopteri; Anguilliformes; Anguillidae
Exons: 4
Source: RefSeq, a predicted model, not a curated record
UGUCUGUUUACGUGAUGAUAUGAAGAAGUCAUAAGAGAAAGGCAGGAUGGCUGUAGGAUGGUGUUUACUCUGCUCCUGUUGUCUGUCAUUGUGAAACAAAGUAUUUCAAACUCAAACACCAAUUUAAAGAUGUGAAGAAAGAAGAGGGAGUAAAAGAAGGAAUAAAAGAACGGAAGACUGUACUGCAUGAAAAUCCCAGGAGGGCAGCUGUUUCUGUGAUGCUGGAACCACCACAUCUGGCACCAUCCAUCUGGCACAGUCAAAGUCGCUUAGAUCACACAUCUUGCCCAUUCUAAUAGGCUAAUUUGGGUUGGAAGCCACUUGUGGUCCAGUCUGGUCUGAUGUGUUCCUGUCUCCUUAGAUAGGGGGGCGCCGUUUUCUAAAAUGAGUCUCUCAGAGGAGCCAGAGACCAAAGGAGGAACCCUCAGCACUGAGAGGAAGAGGGUCCAGGUAGAAAGAGCAGGGUCACCUGUACCCAGCUGUGUGUCUCUGAAGA